UGAAGGGCAGGCAGCCUGACUCUAAGCUCCACUGUUCCAGCUCAUUAGCUCUGAUUAAUCGGCCUGCAUGCUUUCCCAUGGUCCCCUCUGCCUGUUGGAGAAAGAGAGCUCACCUUAGAAGGCACAGGGACUUUGUCUGCUACUACACAACUGGGUUGGGGUCAAUUCAAUUUGAAGUCAGACGAUUCAGGAAGCAAACUGGUUUUCCAAUGCAAGGACCUGAGCCCUAGGACCAUGCCUCAGGACUACCUGGCAUGAUGACUCCUUGCUGUCCCCAGUCCACCUGGCCGUGCUGCUGCUCCAGUUUCAACUGUUCUGCCUGCGGCUAUGGAACCCUGACCUGUUCAACUCUCUAGAGACAGCAGGAGCGGUAGAGAUACUCUUAAUGAUCGGCUAUGAAAAGCCAACUGACAUUUACUCCUGAGGUGCUGACUUGUUGCACCCUCGACAACUACUGUGAUUAUUAUUAUUUGACCAUGCUGGUCAUUUAUGAACAUUUGAACAUCUUGGCCAUGUUCUGUUAUAAACUCCACCCGGGAGAGGCAGAAGAGGACUGGCCACCCCUCAUAGCCUGGUUCCUCACUAGGUUUCUUCCUAGUUUUUGGCCUUUCUAUGGAGUUUUUCCUAGCCACUGUGCUUCUACACCUGCAUUGCUUGCUGUUUGGGGUUUUCGGCAGGGCUUCUGUACAACACUUUUGAGAUAUCAGCUGAUGUAAGCUAUAUAAAUACAUUUGAUUUGAUUUGAAUCGGUCUUUAAAGUUUGAAUCUGAUCCAUGUGCACCUUCAUCAGAAGAGCAGAAUGGUACCGCCCUGGGCCCCCAUCAAUUACAGUGGCCUAUGAUAGAAACGGUAGAACAGUUAAGAAUUCAAAGUGACUCCAGCACACAAAUGCUGCGUACACAUUUUAAGAAUCUAGAAAUACUAACCGCUUUCUUGGCAACCAUACAUUUUUAGGGGUGGAGUUUGGGGUGGGGUGAGGAGUACAGGAAAGGUGUGACUUUCAGCUUACACUAGGCCAUAAGUAUUCAGCAGAUCGCCGAUUGUCCUCACUUUGAUUAUGCUGUAACAACAUACUGUAGCACCAUGACCAGGCUCUCUGCUCAUUUAAGUGAGCAGAUCAGGGCUUUCAGGAGGAAUGUAAAAUCUAGUGCAGACAAUAACGUUUUUUUAAAAAUCAAUUAGUGUAUUUGAGUUUAACCACAUUAUCUGUUGUAUAAUCUGUUCUGUCUUUUCUGGUGGAUUAAAAUGAAAUUGCAAACAAUGUUCUAUGGCUUGUUUAAAAAAUAACAAUAUUUUUGAGAUGAUUUUGUUUUCAAAUAACCUAAAGGGUGCAAGAAAAAGGCAAUUCUUGAACAUGGGGUGAGACAUUACUCCUAAUUUGUAAAUAAAGCCAGUUUUGUUAUUUAGAAUAAUUUAUUUCUGCUUUUAGAGGGAGAGAAACCAAAAGCCCACCCUCGCCUCAUGGGUCUCCUGGUCACGGCCAUCGAACCAGCAUCUGCAGCGAUGCAGUUUGUACUGCGAUGCAGUUUGUACUGCGAUGCAGUUUGUACUGCGAUGCAGUUUGUACUGCGAUGCAGU
Long non-coding RNA from Oncorhynchus tshawytscha (Chinook salmon), 1578 nucleotides. Lineage: Eukaryota; Metazoa; Chordata; Actinopteri; Salmoniformes; Salmonidae. The record is from Ensembl.